RNAcentral lists this ribosomal RNA (300 nucleotides) under uncultured bacterium. RNAcentral's name for it is "bacterial SSU rRNA". It matches the Rfam family "Bacterial small subunit ribosomal RNA", at positions 496 to 795 of the family's 1533-position model. The record is from RNAcentral.
GCUAACUCCGUGCCAGCAGCCGCGGUAAUACGGAGGGGGCGAGCGUUGUCCGAAUUUAUUGGGCGUAAAGCGCGUGUAGGCGGGUGUCCAAGCCCGGGGUGAAAGGUUGGGGCUCAACCCCAACAGUGCCCUGGGGACUGGACGUCUGGAGGCAGGCAGGGGAGCGUGGAAUUCCUGGUGUAGCGGUGGAAUGCGUAGAGAUCAGGAAGAACACCCGUGGCGAAGGCGGCGCUCUGGGCCUGUACUGACGCUGAGACGCGAAAGCGUGGGGAGCGAACGGGAUUAGAUACCCCUGUAGUC